RNAcentral lists this ribosomal RNA (749 nucleotides) under uncultured bacterium. Its description in RNAcentral is "bacterial SSU rRNA". It matches the Rfam family "Bacterial small subunit ribosomal RNA", at positions 55 to 803 of the family's 1533-position model. The record is from RNAcentral.
AUGCAAGUCGAACGAUGAAGAAAAGAAUUGAAGCUUCGGCAGAAAUUCAUUUCGGAUUAGUGGCAGACGGGUGAGUAACGCGUGAGCAACCUACCUCUUACAAAGGGAUAGCCUCGGGAAACCGGGAUUAAUACCAUAUAACAUUGCGACGAAGCAUUUCGAUGCAAUCAAAGCUACGGCGGUAAGAGAUGGGCUCGCGUCCCAUUAACCAGAUGGUGAGGUAACGGCUCACCACAGUAACGAUGGGUAACCGGCCUGAGAGGGUGAACGGUCACACUGGAACUGAGACACGGUCCAGACUCCUACGGGAGGCAGCAGUGGGGAAUAUUGCACAAUGGAGGGAACUCUGAUGCAGCGACGCCGCGUGAGUGAUGAAGGAAUUCGUUUCGUAAAACUCUGUUCUAUGGGAAGAAAAGGACUGUACCAUAGGAGAAAGCUCCGGCUAAAUACGUGCCAGCAGCCGCGGUAAUACGUAUGGAGCGAGCGUUGUCCGGAAUUAUUGGGCGUAAAGGGUGCGCAGGCGGCUUUACAAGUUGGAUGUGAAAUAUUGUGGCUCAACCACAAACGUGCAUCCAAAACUGCAAAGCUUGAGUUAAGGAGAGGUAAGUGGAAUUCCUGGUGUAGCGGUGGAAUGCGUAGAUAUCAGGAGGAAUACCGGUGGCGAAGGCGACUUACUGGACUUAAACUGACGCUCAGGCACGAAAGCGUGGGGAGCAAACAGGAUUAGAUACCCUGGUAGUCCACGCCGU